UAUGGGGUCGCCUCAGGAAGCCGCAGCCAUGUGCGUGGCAGCGUGGGUGUCAUCAUGCAGGAAACAGGUGCCAACGAGCUUUCAUUGUUUCCACGCCAGCGACAAGAAACGCACAACAACCAAACGUGUCAUGAUGAGGUGGCUCUUGAGGGUUUGCAGGUGGCGGAAGCGGGUGCCACAGGUGUGACAGGGGUAAGGCUUCUCUCCAGUGUGAAUCAACACAUGCGCUCUGAGGUGAGCAACCUG
Molecule: long non-coding RNA, 246 nt
Organism: Nerophis ophidion (straightnose pipefish)
Lineage: Eukaryota; Metazoa; Chordata; Actinopteri; Syngnathiformes; Syngnathidae
Exons: 2
Source: RefSeq, a predicted model, not a curated record